RNAcentral lists this ribosomal RNA (610 nucleotides) under Pelodytes punctatus (parsley frog). Its description in RNAcentral is "partial 16S ribosomal RNA". It matches the Rfam family "Bacterial large subunit ribosomal RNA", at positions 1817 to 2645 of the family's 2925-position model. Lineage: Eukaryota; Metazoa; Chordata; Amphibia; Anura; Pelodytidae. The record is from RNAcentral.
CGCCUCUUGAAUUACAUAAGAGGUCCCGCCUGCCCAGUGACUUUGUUCAACGGCCGCGGUAUUCUGACCGUGCGAAGGUAGCGUAAUCACUUGUCCUUUAAAUAAGGACUAGUAUGAAUGGCAUCACGAGGGCUUUACUGUCUCCUAUAUCUAAUCAGUGAAACUGAUCUCCCCGUGAAGAAGCGGGGAUUUUUACAUAAGACGAGAAGACCCCAUGGAGCUUUAAACCAAAAUCAAUUACUUUUUUAUUCUAACCUACGGGCUCACUCAACAGCUAAGUAAUACUGACCUAGGUUUUCGGUUGGGGCGACCACGGAGAAUAAAACAUCCUCCUUGAUGAAUGAACAUUUCUUAACCAAGAGCUACAGCUCUAAGUAAUAAAAUAUUUAACUUACAUUGAUCCAAUCUUAUUGAUCAACGAACCAAGUUACCCUGGGGAUAACAGCGCAAUCCAUUUCAAGAGUUCAUAUCGACAAAUGGGUUUACGACCUCGAUGUUGGAUCAGGGCAUCCCAGUGGUGCAGCCGCUACUAAAGGUUCGUUUGUUCAACGAUUAAAGCCCUACGUGAUCUGAGUUCAGACCGGAGUAAUCCAGGUCAGUUUCUAUCUAU